UACAGAGGUCUCAAGCGUUGUUCGGAUUCAUUGGGCGUAAAGGGUGCGUAGGUGGCGCCGUAAGUCAGGUGUGAAAUCUCGGGGCUCAACCCCGAAACUGCAUUUGAUACUGCGGUGCUCGAGUACUGGAGAGGAGAUUGGAAUUUACGGUGUAGCAGUGAAAUGCGUAGAUACCGUAAGGAAGACCAGUGGCGAAGGCGAAUCUCUGGACAGUUACUGACGCUGAGGCACGAAGGCCAGGGGAGCAAACAGG
RNAcentral lists this ribosomal RNA (253 nucleotides) under uncultured bacterium. RNAcentral describes it as "partial 16S ribosomal RNA". It matches the Rfam family "Bacterial small subunit ribosomal RNA", at positions 524 to 776 of the family's 1533-position model. The record is from RNAcentral.